Molecule: long non-coding RNA, 437 nt
Organism: Suricata suricatta (meerkat)
Lineage: Eukaryota; Metazoa; Chordata; Mammalia; Carnivora; Herpestidae
Exons: 3
Source: RefSeq, a predicted model, not a curated record
GCUUGACGUCGCCAUGAAGUUGAGCGGCCUCGUCGCACCCACUGUGACCCUUCUCCUCUUCCUCUGCCUGCACGUGGCGCGGCCCGUGUGGCAGAGGCGGCAGCAAGCUUUAAAACCUGGAUAUUGCCCAGAGUUUUUACUUGAGUGCCCUUUCAUCCUCUUACCUCUGUGCGAGUGCGAUCGGCGUUGCCCCAGGAUGAAGAAGUGUUGUUUCUACAACUGCAGGAAGCAGUGUGUGGAGCCCUUGCUGGAUUGAGGUAGACACCCCUUCUCCACCAGACCUGAGAAGACCCAGGGGACAGGCUGAGGCGUGGAUAACUGAUUCCCAGUCCCCCCAACGCUCCUCUCUCUCCCCAAACUUCCUUUCAUCAAGAGUGAAAUGCUCAUUAAUAUGAAAGCAACAGAACAAAAUAAAGUGUUAUAUACUUAAAACUACA